UACGUAGGGGGCUAGCGUUGUCCGGACUUAUUGGGCGUACAGAGCGUGUAGGCGGCCAGGUAGGUCUGGUGUGAAAACUCGAGGCUUAACCUCGAGAUGUCAUCGGAAACCAUCUGGCUAGAGUCCGGAAGAGGAGAGUGGAAUUCCUGGUGUAGCGGUGAAAUGCGCAGAUAUCAGGAAGAACACCAAUGGCGAAAGCAGCUCUCUGGGACGGUACUGACGCUGAGACGCGAAAGCGUGGGGAGCGAACAGG
RNAcentral lists this ribosomal RNA (253 nucleotides) under uncultured bacterium. RNAcentral describes it as "partial 16S ribosomal RNA". It matches the Rfam family "Bacterial small subunit ribosomal RNA", at positions 524 to 776 of the family's 1533-position model. The record is from RNAcentral.